This 497-nucleotide ribosomal RNA is filed under the name uncultured bacterium. RNAcentral describes it as "partial 16S ribosomal RNA". It matches the Rfam family "Bacterial small subunit ribosomal RNA", at positions 28 to 507 of the family's 1533-position model. The record is from RNAcentral.
GAUGAACGCUGGCGGCGUGCCUAAUACAUGCAAGUCGAGCGAACAGACGAGGAGCUUGCUCCUCUGACGUUAGCGGCGGACGGGUGAGUAACACGUGGAUAACCUACCUAUAAGACUGGGAUAACUUCGGGAAACCGGAGCUAAUACCGGAUAAUAUAUUGAACCGCAUGGUUCAAUAGUGAAAGACGGUUUUGCUGUCACUUAUAGAUGGAUCCGCGCCGCAUUAGCUAGUUGGUAAGGUAACGGCUUACCAAGGCGACGAUGCGUAGCCGACCUGAGAGGGUGAUCGGCCACACUGGAACUGAGACACGGUCCAGACUCCUACGGGAGGCAGCAGUAGGGAAUCUUCCGCAAUGGGCGAAAGCUUGACGGAGCAACGCCGCGUGAGUGAUGAAGGUCUUCGGAUCGUAAAACUCUGUUAUUAGGGAAGAACAAAUGUGUAAGUAACUAUGCACGUCUUGACGGUACCUAAUCAGAAAGCCACGGCUAACUCCGUG